GGGGCCAUAGCUCAGCUGGGAGAGCACUUGCAUGGCAUGCAAGAGGUCCGCGGUUCGAUCCCUCGUGGCUCCGCCA
Molecule: transfer RNA, 76 nt
Filed under: Bradyrhizobium sp. CB1717
Lineage: Bacteria; Pseudomonadati; Pseudomonadota; Alphaproteobacteria; Hyphomicrobiales; Nitrobacteraceae
Description: tRNA-Ala
Rfam family: tRNA
About the family: Transfer RNA (tRNA) molecules are approximately 80 nucleotides in length. Their secondary structure includes four short double-helical elements and three loops (D, anti-codon, and T loops).
Source: RNAcentral